AAAAUAUAUUUCAAUUGCCAAAAUAGAGUUCUUGUACAUAGUUACGUGUUAUAGAGAUUGCAUGAGGCAAGAAGAUUGAACACAUUACAACUUUUUUAAUAUGCUUUACAGCAAGUACAUAGAUUAAAAUGCAGACCAAACAAAGUCUGUAGACUUAAAACUGCAACCGCAAGUGUUAGAGACUGAAUGACAAUUUCAGAAAUCUGGGUACUAAAACAUGCGGUUUAGUAAAUCCCAGUUAAGUCUUACUGGAUCUGAAACUGCAGGGGCAAGAUAUGAUUAUCUCUAAGUACAGGGUUGAAUUGAAUAAAUUCCAAAGAAGAUAAGAUCCCCAAUUUCUUAUCCCAUGCGAGCGUCGUGGCCAUGGUAACUGCUGCCGCUGUGCAGUGCGGGCAGACCGAUGGUUGCGCCGCCGCGUUUUGCGCCUCGUGGGCUGCCUCUGCCCGGGCUGAGGACCGCGCUGCCGCACGCCGGCCGAUGGCCGCCGCCGCAUAGCCGCGAGACACCGUGUUUGCUGCCGGACGUUGCCAUGCCGGGCACCGGACGUUGGCCACUGCUGCCGCUGUGCGUUACGCGCCUGGCCGCCUCAUCGAAAAAUAUGCAGGCCCGGAGUGCAUCCUCCGCCACGCCGGGGCCGUGGUCCACGGCCGCCUCGGGGUGCAGCGCUGGGAGCAGCCGGGCCGAAGGAUGUCGCCGCUCCGCGAGGAGCCUAGCCGAGGUAAACGUCGACCGGGCCAUGGGUUGCUGCCGAAGUUUGCUUUGGACGACAUUAAAAACGAUGCACUAGAGGUUAGUAUAACAAAUUCGGAAUUGAAUCACCUGAUUGAUGUAUGAUGCAGAGUUGGUCUUUGCAUUAUUGUCGUUUUGUACGAGAUGUGUCACAUGGAUCUUGUAUGUUUUCUUCUGAUCCCCUUGCCGUUCUGCUGUUCUUGACCUUUCUCUGAAUUUUGUGCUUUCUUUCUCUUUGCAUCUGGUUUCUUCCCUGAUCGAGAGACUCGCAGCGCCUGCGCCUGUGCCGCGAACGCCUCCGGCUGAUGCGGGAGGUCGAGGCCACGCGACCACGCGCCGUCUGGAGACCUGCGCCGCCGUGCCGCUCUGCAGGGUGCGGCGUGCUCGCACCACGCGCCGGAGGGCGUGGGCUGCCGCCGGGGACAACGAGAUGCGUCAAGGAACGCUGGGCAUCCGGUCGUGUCGGAGAAACCUUGCUGCCUCUCGGGCAUCAAGGACGUCGCCGGUGACGGAUUGAUGUGGGUGGCCUAAUCGCUCGCUCCAGAUAUUUCCGAGCUGAUUCGUGCGCGCGUGCGUCUGCGGGUGCUUGUUGCAGGUAGCUUGAAAGGACCCCCUGGUCGGUCACGCACUCGGCCGCCAUUUCAGCCUGAAGGUACAGGUGGACACGCAGCCCCCACUCUGAACUUUUUACAACAUGAAACAAGAAUUAUUAGCCACUAAAUGAGCCGCUUGUAGUGCCAAAGCCACUGAUUCAGGCCAGAGAUGGAUGGACACCUGGAUCAACGCAUGCCCGCCCUAUCAGGUCCGGUGUGUUGUUGACGUCGAUCGGUCGGCGGCGGCCUUGAUGGCCUAACCAAAUUGGCGACUGUUUAUUGGGGCAUCCACUCCAUCUCCACCGGAGGCAGCAAAAACGACAUGCCUCUUCAGAUUGUGCAAAGGACAAAAUCAUGAGCAAAAGCUUUUUUAAGUGGAUGUCAAACGCGCAGGAUUUCAUAUAAAAUUAGUUGUCUUUGUCUGAAAAUUUCAGAGUGCGUGUGCGUCUCUAGCUAAGCUUGGACCAUACGUGUUCGUGGAGAAGAAAUAUCUGGUUCUGUUUGAUGCUCUGAUCAAGUGAUUAUUCUCGGUUUGCUCCUUUUGUGUCCAGGGAGACACUGUAUCUGCAGAACAGCACGUUGUCCAAAUGCGUGCAGUAUAUUCUACGAUUGUUUCUGGAUUCU
Triticum aestivum (bread wheat) is the source of this 1946-nucleotide long non-coding RNA. RefSeq lists it as uncharacterized. The transcript is spliced from 2 exons. The record is from RefSeq and is a predicted model, not a curated record. Lineage: Eukaryota; Viridiplantae; Streptophyta; Magnoliopsida; Poales; Poaceae.